CUAGUUCUUCACUGGCAGGGAAGCAGAGGCCUGGGGAGACAGACAGCAGCAUGUUUUGAUACUGAGCUUUGGAGCAAGGAAAUAAUUAUGACUUUAUCAGUUAAGUGUCAGUCAUUCUGUCUCUCGCUGUUUUGACAUGUUCAAUUCUAGUGACUGGUGGUAAAAGACACGAGAGUGUUAGGGGGGUUUGAAGGGAAAAUUUUAAUAGAGGGAAGCAAGGGGAGAAAAAAACCUGUCGAAGACAAUUUCUGGCAGGCAGUUGGGUUCCUGGUGCAGACAGAUUGGCUGAUGUUGAUUGUUGACAGCUUCUGCAGCUUGCUAAUUACAACUGUAAAAAAUUCAGGUGAAUGACAGGAACUUGAAAUGUUAAUUCUGCUUUUAUUAUUUUGCAGCUGCAACUGUUAGUUGGCUCUUGCUGUAAUUGAUGGACACUGCCAGUUGCUUAGACAGAUGGGAAUUAAUACUGGUGUUCCCAUUAGAACUCGCCAUCACAGUCACGUUGGCUUUGGUCUCCUGCAGUGGGUUGAUGUGUGCAAGAGAGUACGCGAGGAAGGAGCGAGCAUGGCUCCUGCCUGCAGCACUUGCCUUCCAGGGUACUGGAGCCAUCCAUCCAGCACAGAGCAGAUGAGCUACUUGCCAGCUUGCAAAACACAUGGCUUUGAGAUGGUGAGGAAAAUGCUUCUUUGCUGGAUGCUGAGAGAUUGCAGUGAGUAGGACUCUGAUCCGCAGAGGUGUCUGUGAGCUGUAGAUACAGAUCCCACUUCACAGGACAGGAAAGCGUUCUUGGAAGAGGAACCGAAGUUCAAAUGAAGAUGCACGUAAGUAAAAAACUGCUUUGAAAAGAUGAUUGUUUUUUUUCCCCACAAUGAUGUUUCUUUGUAAGUGACUCUUGAGGUUUUUUUGUAAUUGUUUCACAUUUGGACAGUGGCUGGGAGUUGAUGACUGUUUUCAGAGAGUUAAAAGUGGUUUGCCAUUUAUAGCAGCUGUGUGUUAGUCCAGUGAGUGCCUGUGAUUGUAGCCAGCCCUGUUUGGGGGGUGGGCUGUGGCCUGGAGUAGCACGUGGCAGAGCCACCCAGCUAUCCUGCGGGUGGUGCCUUUUGGUCCUGACUGCCUUGUGCUGUGCCUGAGAGUCUGGCCUUCUGCCUGCGUGAGUUCUGAAAAGAGAGGCCUGCCCAAAGUGAGCUUUUCCUGUGCAUCCACGGUGUGCUGGGCUCAUAAAGGAACUCUCAAGCUGUGGGAGCUUUGUGUUAGAAGGGUUCAUUAACUUUCAAAUGUUUCAAUUGAGAAAUUUUAGAGCUCUCAGCAUAGACCAGGGUGGCCGGCUCAGCCAAGAGUGUCCCCUGACAGUCAGGUACAGAUGUGAUUGCUAGUCAGAGCACCGUAAGAAACCUAAUAGUGUCCCAGCAAGUGUCAUACUUGAGCUGGAAAGGAUUAAACCAGAUAGCCCAGAGACGCUGUAAAUAAUUUUUAUUGGGCUUUAAGAACUAGGGAGACGAGAGGAGCCUUUACCUUGUAGCUUGCUAGGAAUUGUUCCUGCAGGGCUGUGGUGUGUGUGCACUGGUGAAAGAAAGGAUUCUGGGACUGGUCUUAAUCUGAGCAGGUGCUUAACUCUAUUCCAAAGUGCCCUGGGACAAGGUAGAUCGUGGUGGUACAAAGGGAUGUUUUUCUGGCUGAUGUCUCUGGUGUGUGAACACUGAGAAAUGAGUAAUGAAAGGCAAUGGGAAACUUUCCUGUUUGGGGGAUGUGAUGUUAGC
Cyanistes caeruleus (blue tit) is the source of this 1754-nucleotide long non-coding RNA. NCBI's taxonomy places the organism in Eukaryota, Metazoa, Chordata, Aves, Passeriformes, Paridae. The record is from Ensembl.